GUCGUCGAAAAGAAAAGAUGGGGUGUUCUUGCUUCGGAGGAAGAAACAAAAGGGAUGAUAAAGAAUACAAGAGCAGUGAAAGAUUAAAAGGCGCUGCUGCUGGUCACCAUGGAACUGGUGGAGGAGGAGGGGGCUGUGGCGGCGGUGGAUGUGGAGGAGGAGGUGGCUGUGGCGGUGGUGGAUGUGGUGGUGGAUGUGGUGGUUGAGGGUGCGGAGGUGGAGGCUGUGCUGGUGACUAGCUAUACUCAGGUUUCAUGGUGGAGAUAUGUGUCUGU
This 275-nucleotide small RNA is filed under the name Vigna angularis var. angularis. RNAcentral describes it as "Non-protein coding transcript". Lineage: Eukaryota; Viridiplantae; Streptophyta; Magnoliopsida; Fabales; Fabaceae. The record is from RNAcentral.